GGGGAUAACAUCGCGAAAGCGAUGCUAAUACCGAAUGAUAUCUUGAAAACUCUGUUUUCUGGAUUAAAGAUGGCCUCUACAUGUAAGCUAUUGUUUGGGGAUGAGCCCGCGUACCAUUAGCUUGUUGGUAGGGUAAUGGCCUACCAAGGCAACGAUGGUUAGCUGGUCUGAGAGGAUGAUCAGCCACACUGGAACUGACACACGGUCCAGACUCCUACGGGAGGCAGCAGUGAGGAAUUUUGCGCAAUGGGGGAAACCCUGACGCAGCAACGCCGCGUGAGUGAUGAAGGCUUUCGGGUCGUAAAGCUCUGUCAAGUGGGAAGAAACCAUAUGGUAUUAAUACCGCCAUAUGUUGACGGUACCAUUGAAGGAAGCACCGGCUAACUCCGUGCCAGCAGCCGCGUUAAUACGGGGGGUGCGAGCGUUAUUCGGAUUUACUGGGCGUAAAGAGCGCGUAGGUGGUCUUUUAAGUCAGGUGUGAAAGCCCGGGGCUCAACCCCGGAAGUGCACUUGAAACUAAGAGACUUGAGUAUGGGAGAGGGAAGUGGAAUUCCUGGUGUAGCGGUGAAAUGCGUAGAUAUCAGGAGGAACAUCGGUGGCGAAGGCGACUUCCUGGACCAAUACUGACGCUGAGGCGCGAAGGCGUGGGGAGCAAACAGGAUUAGAUACCCUGGUAGUCCACGCAGUAAACGGUGAACACUAGGUGUAGCGGGUAUUGACCCCUGCUGUGCCGCAGCAAACGCAUUAAGUGUUCCGCCUGGGGAGUACGGCCGCAAGGUUAAAACUCAAAGGAAUUGACGGGGGCCCGCACAAGCGGUGGAGCAUGUGGUUUAAUUCGACGCAACGCGAAGAACCUUACCUAGGUUUGACAUCCCGGGAAUCCUCUGGAAAUAUUGGAGUGCCCUUCGGGGAGCCCGGUGACAGGUGCUGCACGGCUGUCGUCAGCUCGUGUCGUGAGAUGUUGGGUUAAGUCCCGCAACGAGCGCAACCCUUUCUUUAGUUACCAUCAUUUAGUUGGGGACUCUAAAGAUACUGCCCCGGUUAACGGGGAGGAAGGUGGGGAUGACGUCAAGUCCUCAUGGCCUUUAUGCCUAGGGCUACACACGUGCUACAAUGGACUGUACAAAGGGUUGCCAGCCUGCGAAGGUGAGCCAAUCCCAUAAAGCAGUUCGUAGUUCGGAUUGGAGUCUGCAACUCGACUCCAUGAAGCUGGAAUCGCUAGUAAUCGUGGAUCAGAACGCCACGGUGAAUACGUUCCCGGGCCUUGUACACACCGCCCGUCACACCAUGAGAGUUGGUUGUACCAGAAGUCGUUGGGCAAACCCUUCGGGGGUGCAGGCGCCUAAGGUAUGGCUGAUGAUUGGGGUGAAGUCGAAACAAGGUA
This 1384-nucleotide ribosomal RNA is filed under the name metagenome. RNAcentral's name for it is "bacterial SSU rRNA". It matches the Rfam family "Bacterial small subunit ribosomal RNA", at positions 139 to 1498 of the family's 1533-position model. The record is from RNAcentral.